GGUGCAGUGGCUUAGUGGUUAGCUUCACACCUCCAGGGUUGGGGGUUCGAAUCCCACCUUUGCCC
Ameiurus melas (black bullhead) is the source of this 65-nucleotide non-coding RNA. The record is from the annotation of a GenBank genome assembly. Lineage: Eukaryota; Metazoa; Chordata; Actinopteri; Siluriformes; Ictaluridae.